UCCUUUCACUCGGCUGCAUUCGGCUCAUACCGGAAUAACGAGUCGGACAACACGGCCGGCCUUUGGGUUAGCAACAAGACUUUGGGUUGCUUCUGUGUAGAUUUGACCAUUUUACACACAUUCAUUCAGUUAUAUAUGCAGUGUUAACAUCAAUCUAUCUAUCAAUCAAUCAAUCAAUCAACAUUUAUUUAUUUCUAGCGGUUUACAGCAUCCAACAGGUAUGCAAAGUGCUUUACAACAAGGACUAAAACAACAUAACAUACGAUAAAAAGAAUAGAAUACAUAGAAUACAGUAAAAUCUGAAAAGGUUGCAUACAAACAGGAGGAAGAAAGGGACAAAUGUCACAGCGCUACUAUGUAUUAAAAGCCAUUCUAAAUGAAUACGAUUACGUAAUAAAUAACAUAAUUUUAGUUAGAGGAGUUCAACCUUUUGAGAAAAUAUGCUUAUUUCUUUUCUUUCUCAGCGUUAGAGGAAACGAUUGAUCUCAAACUCAUGUCUGUAUCGAUAGUUUGGAUCUUUGAAAGUGGGGUUGAAUGAGCUACUUCUCCAUAGUCAGUGUAUUAGCUGGGGGGGGGCACCUAAAAAAAAUCUAUAUCCGUUUAAGUGGACGCUAUAUUAAGAAAAUUUUCAAGGCUUUACCUGUGGAGCCUUUAUGUUCAGCUCUUUACAAAGCCACCAGACUCCUUUAACAGAAUUGGUCAGUUUACCUCGCAGAACACUGGAUUUGCUGGUCUACCGCUGCCUCCAUCGCUUCAUUUGUUUGUUAAUUCUGUUAGUUCCUUAACCGUUUUUAAAACACCAAAGUCACACUAUAACAAAAAUAAAACUAAUGAGGCAGCAGUAGAGCAGCAGCUCCUGUGUUCUGCGAGGUAAAAUGUCAAAGGAGUCUGGUGGCUUUGAAGAGAGCAGCGAUAACAACUUCACUUCCCCGUCUGACAGCAAGGUAAAGCAGUGAGAAUAUUCUAAAUGUAGCGCCCACUUAAACUGAUAUUGAUUUUUAUUAGGUGGUCCUUUCUUUCACGUGUCUAAAAUACAUUUAGCUGCUGCCUCCCCCCCGCCCCCGUCCACAGCAGCACAUUGCUUAGUUUCCGUGUCAGGAAUCCGGUCUGCUUCUCCAAACUGUCCUCUACUGUAGCUAAUACACGGACUAUGGAGAAGUAGCUCAUACAACCCCACUUCAAAAGAUCCAAACUAUCCCUACAAGAUCAUAGCUGGGGUCAGAAGGUGGUGAGCCUAGCUUAGCAUAAAGAUUGAAAGCAGUGGGGAAACAGCUAGCCUGGUACUAGCAAAGUUCUAAAACUCUGCCUAUCAACAUCUCUCAUUAAUCAAUAUGUUAUAUCUCGUUUGCUUAAUCUGUACACAAACAGAAAUGUAAAAUCUUUUUUUUUUAUGUGAGGGGGUAGUGAUGUGCUGGAACUACUUCUUGACAAACAACAGGUUAUCCAUCCGCUCAGCCCCUCAGUACAGUGUGUCCAGCUGUAGCGCGGGUUGCCAGAUAUGGUUAUUGAGCCCAGACUUUUUUUUCUUUUGCUGAGAAAUAAAGAUGAGUGGUGGUGGGGUAAGUGAGUAACAUAGUGUAACUAUUUCCUAGCGCAGAUCGCGCACCCACAGCAGGGACUGUUUGCAGGUCCCCAAAGUCUGGUCGUUUGGUACCAUGGUGCCUUUACAGAACAUAAACCCGUGACACCAACUGUUAUCUUGGCAACCUGUGCUAUAGCUGCACAGAAGUGCUGGGCAGAUGGAUAAACUGUUGUUAAUCAAGAAAUAGUUCUGUGGCCGGUUGGCUCGGUUGGUAGAGCAGGCGCACAUAUGCGGAGGCAUUUCUAUUCCUUGACGCAGAAGGUCCAGGGUUUGAGUCCAACCUGUGACGGUUUCCAUGCAUGUCUUCCCCCCCUCUCUCUCUCUCUCUCCCCUUUCAUAUCUCAGCUUUCCUAUCGAAUAAAGGCGCAAAUGCCCCCCUCCCAAAAAAUAGUUCGAACAUGUAACUUCCCCUUACAUCACAAAUUGUCAUUUUUACAUUUCUGUUUAUGUUUGGUUCAACAAAUUCGACACAAUGUGUUAAUCAGUGAGCUUUAGACUUGUGGUUAUGUUAUUUUUGUUAUGUUUUUUUUUUUGCGACAGAGCCGGGCCAGCAGUUUCUCUGCUUUCAGUCUUUAUGCUAAGCUAGGCUAACCCCAUUCUGACUGCAGCACUUUAACACACAGACAUGAUACUGAUCUUCUCCAUCUCCCUUACAGAAAGAAAGCAACUGAGCAUAUGUCCCAAUGUGUUUACUAACCCAACGUGGAUGCAGGACGUAUUUCAUUACUUUCCCCGCAAACCAAACAUAGGCGUCAACCACAAACCAAAUCCACAUCUGGAACACCUCUGUUCUGUACAGUGUGGAGUCAAUCUGUUUGAUUUUCAAAAAACUUUAGCACUUUAGUACCAAAGAUUUGACACAACCCAUCACAGAUAGUGUGGGUUUACACUUUUGAAGGAUACAUUUUAGUUUUUGUUCCAAGUCAAUCUUACGUUAAAACAUUAUGCCCAUAUGUACAUUGAGUCAUCGGUCGCUGUAAUCCUUCCUCCUCUCCUUCCCAACAGAUCCCAAUCUAGAUCUAAUACAAUGAAAGUGGACAAAAGCCACAGUCCACUUCUUUUGUUGAAUGCAGACUGCUGAAGCCUGAUAUUCACUUUGAAUGCAAUUUUGCUUCAAAUAACUGGAUUUUGACCCCUAUUUAGGGCUGGGCAAUAUAUUUAUUAAAUCCUGAUAUGAGACUGGCUAACUUGUUAGAUUUUAGAUAUCCUAAUAUGUCAUAGAUGUUGUCUUUUACUGGUUUUAAAGGCUGCAUUACAGUAAAGUGAUGUCAUUUUCUGAACUUACCAGACUAUUGUAGCUGUAGGGCUGAGUAUCGUUCAAAAGUUUACCGGUACCGAUACCUGGAAUUUGAUAACGGUUUCUGAACGCUACUUUUUUUUUCUAUACCAAUUUCAAAAAAAAAAUCCACUUCAACAAAAAUAAUUACAUUUUACGUUACGCUCCUUUACAACUAUGUGACGCCCACUGUAGUCAAGCCUCUCAGAAUACAAUAACACUCAGGUGAGCUUAUUCUCCUGCCUGCCUCCUUGACGUGUAACAUUAAACAGCCAAUCAGCAGCAUUAUUAUAUCUUGGUACAAGCAUGCUGCAUGCUUAUUGGCUUACUGGCGCUGAUGAGAUUUACUCCUUAUGCAUUACAAUUUGGUAUUGAUUGACGAAGCAUUUUUUGAUACUCUAUUAUUUGUCUUUAUCCACAUUAUUUAUUUAAAAUAUCUGUCGCAGUAUCGACAUUGAGGCAUUCGGUCAAAAAUAUAUUUGAUUUUUCGCCACAUCGCCCAGGCCUACCCGCAUGUCUUACAUUGGAUUUGCCCUAGGAAGGGAUGUCCUCAUGACCAGUAUGGAUUCCAGCAACUUGUCCCUCUUUCAACGUACACGUGGGCUUGUUGUACAUAGUCAUAGACUUGAGAAAUCGGAAACUGUCCUCAAAGCUGUAGCACCACACUCUUCUCAAGUAGCUCAUAAAUGCUGCAGUCAAACAGUAUUUCCACACAAGAAAUGUUAUUAGCUACCAUACUCGCAUUAUCAGACCUUCCUCCUCAGCGCAGUCCACACAGCAUUCCGGGAUGGGAGAAAAACGUGCUCUGGUUUAUUGGCAUUUCUUUAAACCAAUCACAAUCGUCUUGGGCUAUGCGCCAGAUGGAGCCACGGAGCCUCUGCUAAAUAAAUCGGGAAGGAACUUGUUUUGGUGGAACAUGUGUACGUUCAAAAGUAGUUUUAGUCGUGCAACAGAAAACUCCGAUUGGACAGAUAGUCUAGCUAGCUGUCUGGAUUUACCCUGCAGAGAUCUGAGGAGCAGUUAACCAUAGUCCUCACAAAUCCACCAGAGGUUAGAACGACAACACAGAGACAGAGGAAGGGGACGGACAUCUGGCAGAAUUUCCCGCAACACCCGAACAAUUGCGGAAGUGGAACGUAGUGGAUAUAGACUAUUUCCCACCUGAUGUGAAUGCAUCAUGAAUACUUGUCCAUUGGCAGGACUCGGCUGGUCUUCCUCCAGUCCAUCUCAUAUAUUACGUAUGGACUGGCAGCAAAAAUAGUCUUGGCCACGCACAGGUUUCAAAACAAGCACCAUUUACUAGCCAAAUGCUGGGAAAAUAUGCAAUUGGUCGGUAGAUUUGCUUCACUCACCAGCCAAAAAAAAACAAUGGUAGUCCAUUGAAUGGCUGGGAAAAUUUAAAUAUUUACUAGCCAUUUGGCUGGUGGAUGAAAAAGUUGAUUUUGAACCCUGGCGCUGCCUUUACUGAAGCUGUAAGAGUUCAUAAUGACUGUCUGGUGUUAGUUGCACUCCUGAGUUGUCCAGCCUGUAUAAUCCAAUAGGGCUACUAGUUAAAGCGUAAGUAGGUCUAACAGUAGAAAUGUCAGUGCUGAGAGGAAAUAUUUAUUUUUUAACUAAUUUAUUUUUGUCACUUUAAUGGGCUACAUUCCUUGUCUGUUGAAAAUGUAAAGGAUGGCCUGCGCUGUUUUCUGUGUCCUUAAUGUCUCAUAGUAAUAACAUUUAAUGUGCUGCUAGUAGAACAGACUCUAAAAUCCCGCAAACUCUAAAUUAUUCUCUGCUCUAUAACUGUCUUAAGAUGCACUGAAUAAAGUGUAGCUUCUUCAUAUUUCA
This is a long non-coding RNA of Perca fluviatilis (European perch), 4688 nucleotides long. RefSeq lists it as uncharacterized. NCBI's taxonomy places the organism in Eukaryota, Metazoa, Chordata, Actinopteri, Perciformes, Percidae. The record is from RefSeq and is a predicted model, not a curated record. The transcript has 2 exons.